AGCUCUACCUUAGUUUUUUUGUUAAACUGAACAAGACCUCAGACUUAAGAGCUAUUCGAAUAAGGCACAGCUUAUUUGAAACAGGACACAACCUACGACAUAGGGUAACCAAGAAUGACUUAAAUAAAGUGGGCCUAAAAGCAGCCAUCUUUAAAAAAGCGUUAAAGCUUAACUACCCCUCACUCACAAUACCUAAAGCCCUCACUAACCCCUCAUCACUAUUGAACAGCUUUAUACUCAUAUAAAAGCUAUUAUGCUAGAACUAGUAACAAGAAACUGCCUUUCUCCUAAAUGUAAGUAUAUACCAAAAUAAACUCUGUUGGUUAUUAACGUAAAUGCUAAACUAUAGUAACACCCACUAGAAAACCCUAUAACUCCUAACGUUAACCUUACACCAGAACAUUCCAGGAAAGAUUAAAAGAAAAAGAAGGAACUCGGCAAAUCAUAGCCUCGCCUGUUUACCAAAAACAUCGCCUCUUGCAAAACAUAAGAGGUCCAGCCUGCCCAGUGACAAAGUUCAACGGCCGCGGUACCCUAACCGUGCGAAGGUAGCAUAAUCACUUGUUCUUUAAAUGAGGACUCGUAUCAACGGCACUACGAGGGCUAUACUGUCUCCUUUUUCCAAUCAGUGAAACUGAUCUCCCCGUGAAGAAGCGGGGAUCAAAAUAUAAGACGAGAAGACCCCAUGGAGCUUUAAACUCUCUGUACACUUCUGUGUUCCUACAUCAUUAGACAUAAGAAAUCUGCACACUAGUUUUAGGUUGGGGGGACCACGGAGUACAAUUUAACCUCCAUAACAAAUGGGCUAAUUACCCUUAUCCACGAGACACACCUCUAAGAAUUACUAAACUAAUGCUUAUGACCCGAUAUUCGAUCAAUGAACCAAGUUACCCUGGGGAUAACAGCGCAAUCUACUUCAAGAGCUCAUAUCGACAAGUAGGUUUACGACCUCGAUGUUGGAUCACGGUAUCCCGUGGGUGCAGCCGCUACUAAUGGUUCGUUUGUUCAACGAUUAAAACCCUACGUGAUCUG
This 1032-nucleotide ribosomal RNA is filed under the name Rana longicrus. Its description in RNAcentral is "partial large subunit ribosomal RNA". It matches the Rfam family "Bacterial large subunit ribosomal RNA", at positions 928 to 2607 of the family's 2925-position model. The record is from RNAcentral. Lineage: Eukaryota; Metazoa; Chordata; Amphibia; Anura; Ranidae.